Molecule: ribosomal RNA, 480 nt
Filed under: Triticum aestivum (bread wheat)
Lineage: Eukaryota; Viridiplantae; Streptophyta; Magnoliopsida; Poales; Poaceae
Description: partial small subunit ribosomal RNA
Source: RNAcentral
AUGAAUUCUAUAGAUACAACCACAAAUAUUAUCCACAUAUACAAUAAUCAGGUGAUUUCUAUUAAAAAUUAUAUAAAUUAUUAUUUUGUUAAUUGUAAUAGAAAUACAACACUUUCUUUCAUUAUAUGCAGAAUAAUAGAAUAUUUUUACAAACCCCAUGUGAAGAUGAGGAGCAACCACAUGUGUGUUCUUUCAUGUGCAUGGAACACAUACAUGCAUGUGCAUGCAAGUGCAUGCCUUGCAUGCUUGCACCCACCGAACCAUGCAAUCCAGCCAUCAUUUGGACGUGUACAAGGACCAAGGGAUCAAGGACCAAAAGACUUUGGAUUAAUAGGCCCAACAUCACCACGUGGGUGGGCCCCUAAGGCUUUCGACCACGCCACCAGGUGCCUGCCGCAAAGUCCAGGAAGAUCGGCCACGUACGGCUUUGAGCAGUCCGAUUCAUGGACAUCAGAUACCGCCUUCGACCCAAAGCAGUAG